This 400-nucleotide ribosomal RNA is filed under the name uncultured bacterium. RNAcentral describes it as "bacterial SSU rRNA". It matches the Rfam family "Bacterial small subunit ribosomal RNA", at positions 356 to 773 of the family's 1533-position model. The record is from RNAcentral.
GGGGAAUCUUGGACAAUGGGGGCAACCCUGAUCCAGCGAUGCCGCGUGAGCGAAGAAGGCCUUAGGGUUGUAAAGCUCUUUCGCCCACGACGAUGAUGACGGUAGUGGGAGAAGAAGCCCCGGCUAACUCCGUGCCAGCAGCCGCGGUAAUACGGAGGGGGCUAGCGUUGUCCGGAAUUACUGGGCGUAAAGCGCGCGUAGGCGGUCCACCAAGUCGGGGGUGAAAGCCCGGGGCUCAACCCCGGAAUGUCCUCCGAGACUGAUGGACUGGAGUUCGGGAGAGGAGAGCGGAAUUCCCAGUGUAGAGGUGAAAUUCGUAGAUAUUGGGAAGAACACCGGUGGCGAAGGCGGCUCUCUGGCCCGCAACUGACGCUGAGGCGCGAAAGCGUGGGGAGCAAAC